This 332-nucleotide ribosomal RNA is filed under the name uncultured bacterium. Its description in RNAcentral is "bacterial SSU rRNA". It matches the Rfam family "Bacterial small subunit ribosomal RNA", at positions 28 to 334 of the family's 1533-position model. The record is from RNAcentral.
GACGAACGCUGGCGGCGUGCCUAAUACAUGCAAGUCGAGCGAGCGGAACCAACAGAUUUACUUCGGUAAUGACGUUGGGAAAGCGAGCGGCGGAUGGGUGAGUAACACGUGGGGAACCUGCCCCUAAGUCUGGGAUACCAUUUGGAAACAGGUGCUAAUACCGGAUAAUAAAGCAGAUCGCAUGAUCAGCUUUUGAAAGGCGGCGUAAGCUGUCGCUAAGGGAUGGCCCCGCGGUGCAUUAGCUAGUUGGUAAGGUAACGGCUUACCAAGGCGACGAUCAGUAGCCGACCUGAGAGGGUGACCGGCCACAUUGGGACUGAGACACGGCCCAA